UUCUAUUUUUCACAAACUCACGCCUUACCUCCUGAUCUUCAUAUAAUUCUAUUUCUUUCUUCAAUAUUUCACUUCAAAACCCUGUCCCGUUUUAAGUACUGUAGCCCCUGAUCACUGAUACCCUGUCCGACUGACGUAGGGCCACGUAACGUAUGUCAAGGCUCUGCCUAAAUUCGUUGGGGUUCUGUCUCGUGACGUAGGGAUAAGUUAGAAUUGGGUUACUAUACUUAAUGUUAGUGCACUAUAUAUUUUAUUAAAUAACCCAGGAGUUAUAUUUAAGUUGAGGCGGGCUGCGUAAGGUACCCUAUAACCCUUACGCGGGCUGCGAGAGGCUAAAAAGGUGGCGCAGCCGGGUGCGGCCACGUGGCCCAACACCCGGCAAACCUACUCGAUGACUCAGCCCAGCUACGCGUUGACUAGAGUUGACGCAGCCGCGUAAGGCCUUGCCUUAUUUUACGCGGGCCGCGAGAAAACCCAGGAGAAGUACUAUAUAAGCAGGCCAUCGGAUCUUCAUUCGAAUUCGUUCAAAAUCAUUUUCUUUCUCUCAAUUUUAAAGUGUAGGCAUUAUACACGGGUAUAAUACCCCCCUAAUUAGCUAAGCUCUGCCUCAUUGUAAGUAUCAUAACCCCUGGAUACGUAUUAGAUACUCUGCCCGAUUGAUCUAGGGUUCCGCAACGGCUGUCGUGGUUCUGUCGGCCGUAGUCUUUGGAAUGCCGUCUCGGGGAGGGGAAUCACAAAGGAAAGCCCUAUAAUAGCAAUGUGAGUUAUCCUCCUUUUGUAAACGUAUUUUGUGAAUUGUUUUACAAAACCUUAAAUAUCUUUCCAUGCGAAUAGCAGUUAUUGAGUAUUUGUAAGAAUACGAUUACAGUCGGUAAAUUUGGGGUUUUGUAUACAAAAUUUGUUACCACCUAGUAAAGGAGUAACAUGAUCAUAAGUCGGAAUGACAUUACCGUGUGGUGGUAAUUGAUAUAACUUGGAAACAAAUAUAAUUGCGGAUGCGCCCUCAAUACUGUACACUGUGACUUUUUACUUAAACUUGAUUAAACUGGGAUUCACUCACCAGUAUUUCCUGCUGAUAAAAUGUUUUAAAAUGUGGCAAUAAAAGUGGCAAUAAAAGCCAGCUGGAGAGCACUGAAGGCUUGGAAAAGUGGCAAUAAAGUUACCUAAAAUAAAAUAGAUGUUUUUAUUAAACAACAUAGGAUUUAUUCCUAUGAAAAUGCGUGUACUAAAAACUUGGGUUUUACCCAUGUGUUUAAUGUUAUAAAAUGUGGUGGUUUACUCUGAUAAAAUAUUUCCUAACUACGGUCCUGAUGAAAAUUUCCGCUGCCAAAUUAGACAAUACCCGAUACCACCGAAAUUGGUUCACGGCCGCCCGUUCCUGUGUUUGUAUAAGGGAUCGGGGGUUGUGACAGGUCAAUCCCAAAUAACUGGGGUCAAGCCCAAAUAACUGGAGACUUCUAUGGAUACUCAAUCCUUUAUUAAGGAUACAUGAACCUUCUGCAAAACUCAGAAUCAAGUAAAAGGAGGAUAAAGGAUCCAGGAUCCUUUUCCUUGUAUAUAGGUGUUAGGGCUGGAUUUUUAUACCACAUGAUCCUUGCAUAUGAUCCUAACCAGUGAUCCUUAUCUCUUUGGCAGAUAGUGAUCCUCAGCGGAGUUCCAGGAUCAGGAUCACGGACCAUCAUAGGAUCCUCGUGCUAACAGUUGCUUUCAUUGAACUUAAUGUCAUUUUGCAGGAAUGUCUAGCAGGAUCCGCUCUUAGCAUCACAAUCAAGGGACGCGUCUUUACAACUUUGGCAUAUGCUUAAUCAGAGAUGAACGUUGUGAAGGAUAUGGAAACUUGGCAUGAUUUAAGGGCGAUAAUUUAGGCUAGAUUUACUUUUAUUUCUAAAGGGGUAAUGAGCUGAUUAUUAGUCUUUUUACCUAAAAUAGGCCACCUACACUUGUAUAUAUAACACUCUUCCCCAUUCGGAAGACACACAACACAAUUCUCACACGCUUAGACACUCGAAACUAUAGUGAUCCUUGUACUCAGCUCAUUAUCAUCCGAAGUUGUAACCAUUUU
Molecule: long non-coding RNA, 2062 nt
Filed under: Helianthus annuus (common sunflower)
Lineage: Eukaryota; Viridiplantae; Streptophyta; Magnoliopsida; Asterales; Asteraceae
Description: hypothetical non coding rna
Source: RNAcentral